UUUUAUACCGGUUCUCGUUAGAUCACCGAAGUCAAGCAUCAUUGGGCGCGGUCAGUAUUUGGGUGGGUGACCACCUGGGAACACCGCGUGCCGUU
Molecule: ribosomal RNA, 95 nt
Filed under: Caerostris darwini
Lineage: Eukaryota; Metazoa; Arthropoda; Arachnida; Araneae; Araneidae
Source: RNAcentral